UGCUAUCGGCGUGCAGUACGAGGAAACAGUCGAGCUACAGCAGAACUGCUGAAAUUUUGCAAAAUGGUGUGGAUUGACUGAGAGGGAAAGCGAAAGAACGAAGCUUUUUCUUCCCCCAAAGGAAAUGGAUGCAGCCGAAGCCCCUCUAUCGACCUCUCCAUCCCAAUCUAGUUUCAGCCAACAACGCCAUUUCUAUCAUGCUGUGGAUAGACUAAAGUUCAAGAUGGAGACAUUAGUCGAUCUAUUGGGCAUGGCGGGCCGUCUUCCUUGUUUGCCAAUGGUGGUUUGCUGCAGCACCCGGGAUGAGCUUGAUGCUGUUUACUCUGCCCUAUCCACCCUCUCCUACAUCUCUAUCUCUGCCGUGUACAGUGACCUCUCUGAGGCAGAAAGAGCACAGGUUUUUGCCACGUUUCGCCAGGCUGUGAUGAGGUGGAAUCGUCAACCCAUGGCUCAACCACAAGAUGCAGGGAAUGGAGAAAAGGAAGAGAAGUCUCACAUGAUUGUUGUGACAGAUGCUUGCCUUCCUCUGGUUAACUCUGGGGAGUUACCUUUUAAUGCCCGUGUCUUGAUUAAUUAUGAGUUACCAGCUAAAAAGGAAACGUAUAUGAGGCGCAUGGCUACUUGUUUGGCAGCAGAUGGAAUUGUGAUCAACAUGGUUGUUGGAGGUGAGGUUGUAGCGCUCAAAAACAUUGACGAAAACAGUGGCUUUCUAAUAGCAGAAAUGCCCAUAAAUAUUUUAGAGAUGCUGUGAAGAUUUCGAUCAGGCUGUUGGAAUGACAUAAAAUACACACAUAACAAACUAGACAAACUUCAUUCUGUUUCGAAUUUGCAAUUCUCAUUGUAAGUACCCAGGGAAAGCAGCUUAAAUUGACUAUUUUUUAAACAUGAUAUGUGCAGUCUGCUCCACAGUGUCCCGGGCAUGUUAAAAAGACGGGUUUUGGUGGGGACUCGAUGCAUGCUAGGAAAUAGGAUACUUUUCACAAAAAGAAAAAAGAAAAAGACAAAAGAUUGCAUGUCUUUGGAGCAGGAUUCUUGUUUCCUGUUUAUGAACAGAGACAUUUACUUGAUUCUGGUUUCAUGUUGUGGAGCAGGCUUUCGUGUUGCUUGUUUAUUGACACAAUGACAUUUAUUAGAACCUGGAAAUUUGUGACAUCUCGUGAUGCAUUGUUCACCGAGUAUAUAUUAUUGACUUGAA
Molecule: RNA transcript, 1195 nt
Organism: Ipomoea nil (Japanese morning glory)
Lineage: Eukaryota; Viridiplantae; Streptophyta; Magnoliopsida; Solanales; Convolvulaceae
Gene name: eukaryotic initiation factor 4A-I
Exons: 8
Source: RefSeq, a predicted model, not a curated record